GAUGAACGCUGGCGGCGUGCCUAAUACAUGCAAGUCGAGCGAACGGACGAGAAGCUUGCUUCUCUGAUGUUAGCGGCGGACGGGUGAGUAACACAUGGAUAACCUACCUAUAAGACUGGGAUAACUUCGGGAAACCGGAGCUAAUACCGGAUGAUAUUUUGAACCGCAUGGUUCAAAAGUGAAAGACGGUCUUGCCGUCACUUAUAGAUGGAUCCGCGCUGCAUUAGCUAGUUGGUAAGGUAACGGCUUACCAAGGCAACGAUGCAUAGCCGACCUGAGAGGGUGAUCGGCCACACUGGAACUGAGACACGGUCCAGACUCCUACGGGAGGCAGCAGUAGGGAAUCUUCCGCAAUGGGCGAAAGCCUGACGGAGCAACGCCGCGUGAGUGAUGAAGGUCUUCGGAUCGUAAAACUCUGUUAUUAGGGAAGAACAUAUGUGUAAGUAACUGUGCACAUCUUGACGGUACCUAAUCAGAAAGCCACGGCUAACUACGUG
This 497-nucleotide ribosomal RNA is filed under the name uncultured bacterium. RNAcentral describes it as "partial 16S ribosomal RNA". It matches the Rfam family "Bacterial small subunit ribosomal RNA", at positions 28 to 507 of the family's 1533-position model. The record is from RNAcentral.